This 212-nucleotide ribosomal RNA is filed under the name uncultured bacterium. RNAcentral's name for it is "partial 16S ribosomal RNA". It matches the Rfam family "Bacterial small subunit ribosomal RNA", at positions 29 to 229 of the family's 1533-position model. The record is from RNAcentral.
AACGAACGCUGGCGGCGUGCCUAACACAUGCAAGUCGAGCGCGAAUGGAGCAAUCCUAGUAGCGCGGCGCACGGGUGCGUAACACGUGGGUAAUCUGCCUGGGAGACCGGAAUAACCUGCCGAAAGGCUGGCUAAUACCGGAUAAGCCCACGGACUCUUCGGAGUCUGAGGGAAAGGUGGCCUCUGUAUACAAGCUAUCACUUCCAGAUGAG